Molecule: transfer RNA, 89 nt
Filed under: Radula japonica
Lineage: Eukaryota; Viridiplantae; Streptophyta; Jungermanniopsida; Radulales; Radulaceae
Description: tRNA-Ser
Rfam family: tRNA
About the family: Transfer RNA (tRNA) molecules are approximately 80 nucleotides in length. Their secondary structure includes four short double-helical elements and three loops (D, anti-codon, and T loops).
Source: RNAcentral
GGAGAGAUGGCCGAGUGGUUGAUAGCGUCGGUCUUGAAAACCGAUAUAGUUUCUAUAUACUAUCGAGGGUUCGAAUCCCUCUCUCUCCU